RNAcentral lists this transfer RNA (69 nucleotides) under Anyperodon leucogrammicus (slender grouper). Its description in RNAcentral is "tRNA-Ile". It matches the Rfam family "tRNA". From Rfam's summary of the family: Transfer RNA (tRNA) molecules are approximately 80 nucleotides in length. Their secondary structure includes four short double-helical elements and three loops (D, anti-codon, and T loops). Lineage: Eukaryota; Metazoa; Chordata; Actinopteri; Perciformes; Serranidae. The record is from RNAcentral.
GAACUGUGCCUGAAGUAAAGGACCACUUUGAUAGAGUGUAUCAGGAGGGUUAAACCCCCUCCAGCUCCU